This 760-nucleotide ribosomal RNA is filed under the name uncultured Archaeoglobus sp. RNAcentral's name for it is "bacterial SSU rRNA". It matches the Rfam family "Archaeal small subunit ribosomal RNA", at positions 102 to 859 of the family's 1478-position model. The record is from RNAcentral. Lineage: Archaea; Methanobacteriati; Methanobacteriota; Archaeoglobi; Archaeoglobales; Archaeoglobaceae.
GGACAACCUGCCCUCGGGUGGGGGAUAACCCCCGGGAAACUGGGGCUAAUCCCCCCAUAGGGGAUGGGGUACUGGAAUGUCCCAUCUCCGAAAGCGCUUAGCGCCCGAGGAUGGGUCUGCGGCGGAUUAGGUUGUUGGUGGGGUAACGGCCCACCAAGCCGAAGAUCCGUACGGGCCAUGAGAGUGGAAGCCCGGAGAUGGACCCUGAGACACGGUUCCAGGCCCUACGGGGCGCAGCAGGCGCGAAACCUCCGCAAUGCGGGAAACCGCGACGGGGUCAGCCGGAGUGCUCGCGCAUCGCGCGGGCUGUCGGGGUGCCUAAAAAGCACCCCAUAGCAAGGGCCGGGCAAGGCCGGUGGCAGCCGCCGCGGUAAUACCGGCGGCCCGAGUGGCGGCCACUUUUAUUGGGCCUAAAGCGUCCGUAGCCGGGCUGGUAAGUCCUCCGGGAAAUCUGGUCGCUUAACGAUCAGACUGCCGGAGGAUACUGCCAGCCUAGGGACCGGGAGAGGCCGGGGGUAUUCCCGGGGUAGGGGUGAAAUCCUGUAAUCCCGGGAGGACCACCUGUGGCGAAGGCGCCCGGCUGGAACGGGUCCGACGGUGAGGGACGAAGGCCAGGGGAGCGAACCGGAUUAGAUACCCGGGUAGUCCUGGCUGUAAACGAUGCGGACUAGGUGUCACCGAAGCUACGAGCUUCGGUGGUGCCGGAGGGAAGCCGUUAAGUCCGCCGCCUGGGGAGUACGGCCGCAAGGCUGAAACUUAA